RNAcentral lists this transfer RNA (76 nucleotides) under Ignavibacteria bacterium. RNAcentral describes it as "tRNA-Met". It matches the Rfam family "tRNA". From Rfam's summary of the family: Transfer RNA (tRNA) molecules are approximately 80 nucleotides in length. Lineage: Bacteria; Pseudomonadati; Ignavibacteriota; Ignavibacteria. The record is from RNAcentral.
CGCGGGGUAGAGCAGUUGGUAGCUCGUCGGGCUCAUAACCCGGAGGUCGCAGGUUCAAGUCCUGCCCCCGCUACAA